RNAcentral lists this ribosomal RNA (320 nucleotides) under uncultured bacterium. Its description in RNAcentral is "bacterial SSU rRNA". It matches the Rfam family "Bacterial small subunit ribosomal RNA", at positions 43 to 366 of the family's 1533-position model. The record is from RNAcentral.
UCAGGCCUAACACAUGCAAGUCGAACGGUAACGCGGGGCAACCUGGAGACGAGUGGCGAACGGGUGAGUAAUGUAUCGGAACGUGCCCAGUAGUGGGGGAUAGCCCGGCGAAAGCCGGAUUAAUACCGCAUACGACCUAAGGGUGAAAGCGGGGGAUCGCAAGACCUCGCGCUAUUGGAGCGGCCGAUAUCAGAUUAGCUAGUUGGUGGGGUAAAGGCCUACCAAGGCGACGAUCUGUAGCUGGUCUGAGAGGACGACCAGCCACACUGGGAGUGAGACACGGCCCAGACUCCUACGGGAGGCAGCAGUGGGGAAUUUUG